RNAcentral lists this ribosomal RNA (177 nucleotides) under uncultured bacterium. RNAcentral describes it as "partial 16S ribosomal RNA". It matches the Rfam family "Bacterial small subunit ribosomal RNA", at positions 326 to 525 of the family's 1533-position model. The record is from RNAcentral.
ACGGGGGGCUACGGGAGGCAGCAGUGGGGAAUAUUGCACAAUGGGGGAAACCCUGAUGCAGCGACGCCGCGUGAGUGAAGAAGUAUUUCGGUAUGUAAAGCUCUAUCAGCAAGGAAGAUAAUGACGGUACUUGACUAAGAAGCCCCGGCUAACUACGUGCCAGCAGCCGCGGUAAUA